AUGAUACUAUUACACCUUACAUAUUUGAUAAUGAGUAUUUUCAGAGUAGAGUGGUUCUUUGUGUCCGCCAUCUCCACCCCAUCUUCUAUUGCACUAAUUUCAGCUCAGCGUCUCUUGGUGUUGUGUUCCAUGUUUUUCGAAAUUCCAGCAAUGAUCCUCUUUUGUCUAGUACCGGGCAAUGACCUACAAAUAGUGUUGGGAUGGAUGGCCAAAUGGCACCUCCCUUUUCUGGAAAAUGGUGAUUGGGGAAGCCACACCAUGUACCAUGAGUGGACCUCUUUGGUUUGCAGGAAAGAAGCACAUGAAUAG
This 309-nucleotide ribosomal RNA is filed under the name Triticum aestivum (bread wheat). RNAcentral describes it as "partial small subunit ribosomal RNA". The record is from RNAcentral. Lineage: Eukaryota; Viridiplantae; Streptophyta; Magnoliopsida; Poales; Poaceae.